RNAcentral lists this ribosomal RNA (495 nucleotides) under uncultured bacterium. RNAcentral describes it as "partial 16S ribosomal RNA". It matches the Rfam family "Bacterial small subunit ribosomal RNA", at positions 28 to 507 of the family's 1533-position model. The record is from RNAcentral.
GACGAACGCUGGCGGCGUGCCUAAUACAUGCAAGUAGAACGCUGAAGGAGGAGCUUGCUUCUCUGGAUGAGUUGCGAACGGGUGAGUAACGCGUAGGUAACCUGCCUGGUAGCGGGGGAUAACUAUUGGAAACGAUAGCUAAUACCGCAUAAGAGUAGAUGUUGCAUGACAUUUGCUUAAAAGGUGCAAUUGCAUCACUACCAGAUGGACCUGCGUUGUAUUAGCUAGUUGGUGAGGUAACGGCUCACCAAGGCGACGAUACAUAGCCGACCUGAGAGGGUGAUCGGCCACACUGGGACUGAGACACGGCCCAGACUCCUACGGGAGGCAGCAGUAGGGAAUCUUCGGCAAUGGACGGAAGUCUGACCGAGCAACGCCGCGUGAGUGAAGAAGGUUUUCGGAUCGUAAAGCUCUGUUGUAAGAGAAGAACGAGUGUGAGAGUGGAAAGUUCACACUGUGACGGCAUCUUACCAGAAAGGGACGGCUAACUACGUG